Molecule: long non-coding RNA, 499 nt
Organism: Ictalurus punctatus (channel catfish)
Lineage: Eukaryota; Metazoa; Chordata; Actinopteri; Siluriformes; Ictaluridae
Exons: 4
Source: RefSeq, a predicted model, not a curated record
CACGUGUCGGCCAUUUCCAGUCCUGCAGAGCAGGCUGUAUUAUUUGCUCUUGGCAUAAAUCUUUCUCCAUCUGUUGUGUAAAACCUUUGGAGAAGCUUUGCGUAAGAUCUACAGAGGAGCUCUGGAUCCAGAGAAGUGUUUGGUUUCUGAGGCGGCGUCUUGUCAGGAGAACAACACACAAAUGGAGGUGAAACUGCUAUCAACCAUCCAUGGGCUGGAGAACUGUCUGAGGUACCAGCAGUAGAUGAGAAGAUAAGGAGAACACAAACCUGGGAAAUGGCACACAUUUGCCAGACAGCAAUCAGGUCAUCCUACAACUAUUUUCAAGUGAGUGCUGGCUUCUCUCUCACCCGUAAGUGCAAAGCGCUUAUUUGCAUGUAGUGAUGCCCACAACACUCCGUAAUGAAUAAUCAGGGUAAAGCCUGAAAGACAGAAGUGGAAGUUAUUUUGACUUACAUCUAUGGCAAUAAAAAUAUUGAAUAAUAUAACAUUAAUAAUA